AUACGGAGGAUGCGAGCGUUAUCCGGAUUUAUUGGGUUUAAAGGGAGCGUAGGUGGGAUAUUAAGUCAGCUGUGAAAGUUUGGGGCUCGACCUUAAAAUUGCAGUUGAUACUGGUUUCCUUGAGUACGGUACAGGUGGGCGGAAUUCGUGGUGUAGCGGUGAAAUGCUUAGAUAUCACGAAGAACUCCGAUCGCGAAGGCAGCUCACCGGGCCGGAACUGACACUGAUGCUCGAAAGUGCGGGUAUCAAACAGGAUUAGAUACCCUGGUAGUCCGCACAGUAAACGAUGAAUACUCGCUGUUUGCGAUACACGGUAAGCGGCCAAGCGAAAGCAUUAAGUAUUCCACCUGGGGAGUACGCCGGCAACGGUGAAACUCAAAUGAAUUGACGGGG
RNAcentral lists this ribosomal RNA (393 nucleotides) under uncultured bacterium. RNAcentral describes it as "partial 16S ribosomal RNA". It matches the Rfam family "Bacterial small subunit ribosomal RNA", at positions 523 to 918 of the family's 1533-position model. The record is from RNAcentral.